AGAUCACUCUGCUCAACAACAGCAGAAUACUCAUUGUUCCCAAGCACACAUGGAACAUUCUCUAGGAUAUACCAUGUUAGGGGCCAAUACAAGUAUCAGUACAUAUUUGAGAAAUUGAAAUCACACAGAGCAUCUUCUCUAACAACCAUGGAAUGAAGGAAGAAAUCAUUAACAGAACCAUUCACCAUCACGUUUGCCACACAUGAGAAUUUAUUACAAAGUCAUUUAUUGGAGGAGGUCAAUGUGAAAGGAUCAUAUAAUAAAAGAAAAAAUUGACAGUAGUCAAUGGGAAAAAAAAAUAAUCCCAGUUUGUAUUGAUGAAAGCCCAAUGUUAACGGGGGGAAAAUCCAAGUGUUACACUGUGGAGACAGCCAACCAGAGAAAGAAGCACGACAGCACCACCUGGCACCUACAUUCAUUGAUCUUGGGGUCACAUUUAAUACUACAGCUAUGUGCAGAGCAAUACCAAAGGACGAGCUCACAAGCAGGACUUCCAUAG
This 499-nucleotide long non-coding RNA is filed under the name Vulpes vulpes (red fox). RNAcentral's name for it is "lncRNA (ENSVVUG00000001403.1)". Lineage: Eukaryota; Metazoa; Chordata; Mammalia; Carnivora; Canidae. The record is from RNAcentral.